This 210-nucleotide long non-coding RNA is filed under the name Mytilus galloprovincialis (Mediterranean mussel). The record is from RNAcentral. Lineage: Eukaryota; Metazoa; Mollusca; Bivalvia; Mytilida; Mytilidae.
GUGGGGGUGGGGCUAAGACUCUAAAGAGCCCGUGUCGCUCACCUUGGUCUGUGUGAAUAUUAAACAAAGGACGCAGAUGGAUUCAUGACAAAAUUGUGUUUUGGUGAUGGUGAUGUGUUUGUACAUCUUACUUUACUGAACAUUCUUGCUGCUUACAAUUAUCUCUAUCUAUAAUGAACUUGGCCCAGUAGUUUCAGAGGAGACGAUUUU